UCGUGCUAGACGGGGAGAUAGCGGUGCCCUAUACCCGCAAUCCGCUAUAGCGGGGUUGAAUUCCUGUUUAGAGUUGACCUUAGUGUCUCUGGUUUUGAGUGUUGUGUUGAGAAUUAGGCCCUGCGCAACGGUUUCCUGUGAACCCCGUCAGGUCCGGAAGGAAGCAGCGGUAAGCAGUGCAUUCUGUGUGCCGCAGGUUAGCCUAGUUUGAGCAAGAUUCAUAUAACUAUGCACUGAGUAAUCAGCGCAAAGGCAGGUGCACGA
Molecule: signal recognition particle RNA, 264 nt
Filed under: Chloroflexota bacterium
Lineage: Bacteria; Bacillati; Chloroflexota
Description: signal recognition particle sRNA large type
Rfam family: Bacterial large signal recognition particle RNA
About the family: The signal recognition particle (SRP) is a universally conserved ribonucleoprotein involved in the co-translational targeting of proteins to membranes. Archaeal SRP consists of a 7S RNA and homologues of the eukaryotic SRP19 and SRP54 proteins.
Source: RNAcentral